GCACAAACUAGGGGGUGGCGACUGUUUACUAAAAACACAGGGCUCUGCGAAGUCGUAAGACGACGUAUAGGGUCUGACGCCUGCCCGGUGCUGGAAGGUUAAAGGGAGAGGUGCAAGCUUUGAACUGAAGCCCCAGUAAACGGCGGCCGUAACUAUAACGGUCCUAAGGUAGCGAAAUUCCUUGUCGGGUAAGUUCCGACCUGCACGAAUGGCGUAACGACUUCCCCGCUGUCUCAAAUGUGGACUCAGCGAAAUUGAACUGUCUGUCAAGAUGCAGACUUCCCGCGGUUAGACGGAAAGACCCCAUGCACCUUUACUCUAGCUUCGCACUGGCAUCAGGAUUGCGAUGUGCAGGAUAGGUGGUAGGCUUUGAAGCGGGGACGCUAGUCUUCGUGGAGCCAUCCUUGAGAUACCACCCUUCGCACUCUUGAUGUCUAACCGCGGUCCGUUAUCCGGAUCCGGGACCCUGCGUGGUGGGGAGUUUGACUGGGGCGGUCGCCUCCCAAAGUGUAACGGAGGCGCGCGAAGGUUGGCUCAGACCGGUCGGAAAUCGGUCGUUGAGUGCAAUGGCAUAAGCCAGCCUGACUGUAAGACUGACACGUCGAACAGAGACGAAAGUCGGCCAUAGUGAUCCGGUGGUCCCAAGUGGGAGGGCCAUCGCUCAACGGAUAAAAGGUACGCUGGGGAUAACAGGCUGAUGGUGCCCAAGAGUCCAUAUCGACGGCACCGUUUGGCACCUCGAUGUCGGCUCAUCUCAUCCUGGGGCUGGAGCAGGUCCCAAGGGUAUGGCUGUUCGCCAUUUAAAGAGGUACGUGAGCUGGGUUUAGAACGUCGUGAGACAGUUCGGUCCCUAUCUGCCGUGGGUGUAGGAGACUUGAGAAGAGUUGCCCCUAGUACGAGAGGACCGGGGUGAACGAACCACUGGUGGACCAGUUAUCGUGCCAACGGUAGUGCUGGGUAGCUAUGUUCGGACAGGAUAACCGCUGAAGGCAUCUAAGCGGGAAGCCCCCUUCAAAACAAGGUCUCCCUUGAGAGCCGUGGAAGACCACCACGUCGAUAGGCCAGAGGUGUAAGAGCGGCAACGCUUUCAGCUGACUGGUACUAAUUGCUCGAUAGGCUUGAUUUG
Molecule: ribosomal RNA, 1126 nt
Filed under: mine drainage metagenome
Description: bacterial LSU rRNA
Rfam family: Bacterial large subunit ribosomal RNA
Source: RNAcentral